Molecule: Y RNA, 102 nt
Filed under: Microcebus murinus (gray mouse lemur)
Lineage: Eukaryota; Metazoa; Chordata; Mammalia; Primates; Cheirogaleidae
Description: Y RNA (ENSMICG00000020685.3)
Rfam family: Y RNA
About the family: Y RNAs are components of the Ro ribonucleoprotein particle (Ro RNP), in association with Ro60 and La proteins. The Y RNAs and Ro60 and La proteins are well conserved, but the function of the Ro RNP is not known. In humans the RNA component can be one of four small RNAs -- hY1, hY3, hY4 and hY5.
Source: Rfam by way of RNAcentral
GGCUGGUCUGAAGGUAGUGAAUUACCCCACUUGAUUGUUCACAGAUCGAACUCCCUGUUCUUCUCUUUCCCCCUUCUUGCUACCGCACUGGACUGGCCUUAA